CUUAAUUAAAUUUAAGAGGUUUCAGCUGUAGGCUUUAAUUUUAAUAUUGUGUCAAGACACUCUGCAUUUUAACUCUAUGCCAAUCUUUCUAUUUUAUUUUAUUUCUUCAGGAUCAUGUCUGCAUAGACUGUCUUCAAGAUUUUAUCCAAAAAUUUGCAAGACUGCAGAUUUUUCUUCUAGGAAAGUUCAGGUGUGAAAUACGCUGGAAUUUCCGAUGGGAUGAACUUCCUCUUCCAAUGGAGAAGGGCCAUGGUGACCAUUGGGAAAUGAAAGGAGAUGGACAGAGCAAUGUGCCUGUAUGACAGCCUUAUUUCGGUAAAAUGUGGGCUCACUGGAGGUGACCAAGAAGUUGUCAGCAGGUCUUACUCUGCUAUUGAAGUUGCAUGCUUCAGUCAAGACAAGAAUUAG
Molecule: long non-coding RNA, 408 nt
Filed under: Parus major (Great Tit)
Lineage: Eukaryota; Metazoa; Chordata; Aves; Passeriformes; Paridae
Description: lncRNA (ENSPMJG00000006378.1)
Source: RNAcentral